UACCAGCACCCCGAGUAUUCGGGACGAUUAUUGGGCCUAAAGCAUCCGUAGCCGGUCUAACAAGUCCUCCGUUAAAUCCAACGGCUCAACCGGUGGGCUGAGAGGGAUACUGUUAGACUAGGGGGCGGGAGAGGCGAGGGGUAUUCCCAGGGUAGGGGUAAAAUCCACUGAUCCUGGAAGGACCACCAGUGGCGAAGGCGCCUCGCUAGAACGCGCCCGACGGUGAGGGAUGAAAGCUAGGGGAGCGAACCGG
RNAcentral lists this ribosomal RNA (253 nucleotides) under uncultured archaeon. RNAcentral describes it as "partial 16S ribosomal RNA". It matches the Rfam family "Archaeal small subunit ribosomal RNA", at positions 474 to 727 of the family's 1478-position model. The record is from RNAcentral.